CCUACGGGGGGCUGCAGUGAGGAAUAUUGCGCAAUGGAGGCAACUCUGACGCAGCCAUGCCGCGUGCAGGAAGAAGGCGCUACGCGUUGUAAACUGCUUUUAACCGGGAAGAAACCCCAGGACGUGUCCUGGGUUGACGGUACCGGAGGAAUAAGCACCGGCUAACUUCGUGCCAGCAGCCGCGGUAAUACGAAGGGUGCAAGCGUUAUCCGGAUUCAUUGGGUUUAAAGGGUGCGUAGGUGGGGCGAUAAGUCAGUGGUGAAAUCUUGCGGCUUAACCGUAAAAUUGCCAUUGAUACUGUCGCUCUUGAGUACGCUUGACGUGGGCGGAAUGUGCCGUGUAGCGGUGAAAUGCUUAGAUAUGGCACAGAACACCGAUAGUGAAGACAGCUCACGAAGGCGAAACUGACACUGAGGCACGAAAGCGUGGGGAUCGAACAGGAUUAGAUACCCCGGUAGUC
RNAcentral lists this ribosomal RNA (460 nucleotides) under uncultured Flavobacteriales bacterium. Its description in RNAcentral is "bacterial SSU rRNA". It matches the Rfam family "Bacterial small subunit ribosomal RNA", at positions 338 to 795 of the family's 1533-position model. Lineage: Bacteria; Pseudomonadati; Bacteroidota; Flavobacteriia; Flavobacteriales. The record is from RNAcentral.